RNAcentral lists this transfer RNA (71 nucleotides) under Patescibacteria group bacterium. RNAcentral describes it as "tRNA-Met". It matches the Rfam family "tRNA". Rfam says of the family: Transfer RNA (tRNA) molecules are approximately 80 nucleotides in length. Their secondary structure includes four short double-helical elements and three loops (D, anti-codon, and T loops). The record is from RNAcentral.
UGCGGGGUGGGCCAGCAGUAGGCCGGGAGGCUCAUAACCUCCAGACACCGGCGCAAAUCCGGUCCCCGCAA